UACGAAGGGGGCUAGCGUUGCUCGGAAUCACUGGGCGUAAAGCGCACGUAGGCGGCGUCGUAAGUCAGGGGUGAAAUCCCGGAGCUCAACUCCGGAACUGCCUUUGAAACUGCAAUGCUAGAAUCUUGGAGAGGCGAGUGGAAUUCCGAGUGUAGAGGUGAAAUUCGUAGAUAUUCGGAAGAACACCAGUGGCGAAGGCGACUCGCUGGACAAGUAUUGACGCUGAGGUGCGAAAGCGUGGGGAGCAAACAGG
Molecule: ribosomal RNA, 253 nt
Filed under: uncultured bacterium
Lineage: Bacteria
Description: partial 16S ribosomal RNA
Rfam family: Bacterial small subunit ribosomal RNA
Source: RNAcentral